GUAGGUGAACCUGCGGAAGGAUCAUUAUCGAAAAUAACAAUAUUGUUUUCGCAUGCUGUCCUUUUCGACGCACGAAGAAAACUUUAUUCACCCCAUUGUGAACUGUGAUAACCCCGAGCGAAAGGAUUGUGACUCGGAUUUUCUGCGUGAAUUUGGCACUUUUUGUCCAUCUUCGCCAGUUAAAAUCAAAAGUUUUACCUUUCUGCGCGGCAACCAUUUAUUUUCACUCUGAAUAAGUGUGUAAACACCU
RNAcentral lists this unclassified non-coding RNA (250 nucleotides) under plant metagenome. RNAcentral describes it as "partial contains small subunit ribosomal RNA, internal transcribed spacer 1, and 5.8S ribosomal RNA". The record is from RNAcentral.